This 75-nucleotide transfer RNA is filed under the name Candidatus Altimarinota bacterium. RNAcentral's name for it is "tRNA-Gln". It matches the Rfam family "tRNA". From Rfam's summary of the family: Transfer RNA (tRNA) molecules are approximately 80 nucleotides in length. Their secondary structure includes four short double-helical elements and three loops (D, anti-codon, and T loops). Further hydrogen bonds mediate the characteristic L-shaped molecular structure. tRNAs have two regions of fundamental functional importance: the anti-codon, which is responsible for specific mRNA codon recognition, and the 3' end, to which the tRNAs corresponding amino acid is attached (by aminoacyl-tRNA synthetases). tRNAs cope with the degeneracy of the genetic code in two manners: having more than one tRNA (with a specific anti-codon) for a particular amino acid; and 'wobble' base-pairing, i.e. permitting non-standard base-pairing at the 3rd anti-codon position. The record is from RNAcentral. Lineage: Bacteria; Candidatus Altimarinota.
UGGGAUGUAGCCAAGUGGUAAGGCAGGGGACUUUGACUCCUCCAUGCGUAGGUUCGAUCCCUACCAUCCCAACCA